CAGAAGUAAAUAAUAAUUUUGCGAAGUUGACAGUCAUAUGAACUAAUUAAAGUACAUUGAAUGAGGGAACCAACAUAUUCCCUCUGCCUUUCCCCAACUAGUUAUGGUACAAAACUAAUGCUAUAUGAAUAACUUAACUAUGCCUCAAUUCUAAACUCUGUGUCAAUAUUUAUGAAAUUAAUACAACAUAAGAUCCACAUAACGUUUUCUAAGCAUCACAGCCUCCACACACGACCCCCUACUAUUGGAUAAAAAUGAGAUAAGUAUUAGAUAUUGAACAAUUAAGUAGAAGAGGAAUCAACAUAUGGUGGAGAUUUUCAAAUUGUGAAUAGAUAGAGAAAAUACUUGGCGAGCUGUUAAAAAUGCAAGUAAGAAUGCCUAUCGUUAGUGAGACCAACCAAUGAUGCGGAAACCACAAUAUUAAGCAUAUAGUCAACAAGUUUUUGAGACCAUUCUUUAAUAAGAUUCUGGCUCUAACCAAACGAAGAUUUUAAACUUAUUUACCCGGUUUAUCUAAGUUUUCAUAUUUAUAGAAAGUAACUAAAGUUUUUUUUACAAAAUAUAUGAAGAUGUUUGUUUAAUCGUAAAACGGUACAGUUAAAUUUAUAACGUGAUUUAUAGACAAGUGAAUCGAUUUAACCCAAAAAUACGAAAUGAAUAAUAAUAGAAAUAAGAUUAUGAAAUGAAAUUAGAGGAAAUACAAGUCUCGAUAUGAACUUAGCCUCUUCGGUGGCAAAAGUGUGAACAAUAUUCAAGAAUAAAACCAAUCUUAGAUUUUUGAAGAGUAACAAAGUGUUAAAGAUUGUAGCAUUUUGAGAACAUUUUCAUAGCUUGUUAUAUGUCUCUGCACCUCUAUAGCUUAGUGGUCUCAAACCUAUACAAGGGCUUUGAAGGGAUAGGGGAAGAAAAGAAAACAAAGAGGGUCAUUUUCUUUUAGGAACAUGGCUCCUCCAUUCGCUUGCUUAUGAACUCGUAGCUUCGCCACAAGCGAUAAGGGGGGCUGGGAAGGCCGACGACUACAUGAGGCCGGAAGCUUUCGUAGAAGCUUUACCCCUUGCUUUACAAAGAUAGUUAUGAACUGACUAAAUGACUAGAUUCUCCCGGAAUGCUAGCUAAGCUAAUCGUCUUAGUUCCCUUCAAUUAAAUCAAUAAGUUUUUUGAUUGAGGGGGACCUCGGUCCGGGAAGGGGAGAGUGGCGGGAAGGGGAGUGUCCGAGUGGUCAAAAACGACAUACUGUAAAUCUGUUGAAAUUUUUCUACGUAGGUUCGAAACCUGCCUCAACCUGCUAUAAUCCUCCUGACCUUUAGAAAAACACAUAAAUAUAAAAUCCAUACGCUAAAUACUUAGGCACCCAAAUCAGAACUUAAGAAAACUAAAUCUAUUUGAAAGAAUCAAAGCAAGUGAAAGUACCUGCAGUACUAUCCCACAAUCUCAAAUUGACAAUUAAUUUUCCCAUCCAUAGCUACAUUAGCACCGAAAUUAUCAAACACAGUAGGAAUAUAAUCCUGCAAAAAAGCCACAAAUAGAUUAUUAAGACAAACAAUUUUUCAAGAGUAGCUGCAUUUUUUAGUAGCUUGCUUCAAUGCAACCCAUGCCAAACAAGAACAUCAAUUCCCAAGAAAAAAUAACUAAAAAUGAAAAUUUGGAGAAAAAAACAUGAAAUCCCACAUUUGAAAUUCAUAAAUAUGUUGACCAAAAAAAAAAAACGGUGCAUAUAUAUUGACUAGACUUCUAGUAGUAAGAGUACAG
This 1749-nucleotide long non-coding RNA is filed under the name Nicotiana tabacum (common tobacco). RNAcentral describes it as "long non-coding RNA (NTAB_LNC005995)". The record is from RNAcentral. Lineage: Eukaryota; Viridiplantae; Streptophyta; Magnoliopsida; Solanales; Solanaceae.